RNAcentral lists this ribosomal RNA (673 nucleotides) under uncultured bacterium. RNAcentral describes it as "bacterial SSU rRNA". It matches the Rfam family "Bacterial small subunit ribosomal RNA", at positions 139 to 809 of the family's 1533-position model. The record is from RNAcentral.
GGGGAUAAGCGGAAGAAAUUCCGUCUAAUACCGCGUAAUAACUCCGAGAGGCAUCUCCUGGGGUUUAAAGGGUAACACCGGCUACGGAUGGCCAUGCGGCGCAUUAGCUAGUUGGCGGGGUAACGGCCCACCAAGGCGACGAUGCGUAGGGGUUCUGAGAGGAAGGUCCCCCACACUGGUACUGAGACACGGACCAGACUCCUACGGGAGGCAGCAGUGAGGAAUAUUGGUCAAUGGGCGCGAGCCUGAACCAGCCAAGUCGCGUGAGGGAAGACGGUCCUAUGGAUUGUAAACCUCUUUUGUCGGGGAGCAAAAGACGCCACGCGUGGCGUUCCGAGAGUACCCGAAGAAAAAGCAUCGGCUAACUCCGUGCCAGCAGCCGCGGUAAUACGGAGGAUGCGAGCGUUAUCCGGAUUUAUUGGGUUUAAAGGGUGCGCAGGCGGAAGAUCAAGUCAGCGGUAAAAUUGAGAGGCUCAACCUCUUCGAGCCGUUGAAACUGGUUUUCUUGAGUGAGCGAGAAGUAUGCGGAAUGCGUGGUGUAGCGGUGAAAUGCAUAGAUAUCACGCAGAACUCCGAUUGCGAAGGCAGCAUACCGGCGCUCAACUGACGCUCAUGCACGAAAGUGUGGGUAUCGAACAGGAUUAGAUACCCUGGUAGUCCACACAGUAAACGA